AGUGAACGCUGGCGGUAGGCCUAACACAUGCAAGUCGAACGGCAGCAUAGUAAGAGCUUGCUCUUAGGGGGGGGGGGGGGCGGAGGGGGGGGAAAAACAUCGAAUCCUCCUUUUUGGGGGGGGAUAAGGAGGGAAAACUACGCUUAUAACGCCAUCCAACUACGGGUGAAAGCAGGGGGUCCUCGGAACCUGCGCGAUUGAAUGGACCCGAUGUCGGAUUAGCUAGUUGGCGGGGUAAGGGCCCACCAAGGCGACGAUCCGUAGCUGGUCUGAGAGGAUGAUCAGCCACACUGGAACUGAGACACGGUCCAGACUCCUACGGGAGGCAGCAGUGGGGAAUAUUGGACAAUGGGCGCAAGCCUGAUCCAGCCAUACCGCGUGGGUGAAGAAGGCCUUCGGGUUGUAAAGCCCUUUUGUUGGGAAAGAAAAGCAGCAGGUUAAUACCCCGCUGUUCUGACGGUACCCAAAGAAUAAGCACCGGCUAACUUCGUG
This 492-nucleotide ribosomal RNA is filed under the name uncultured bacterium. Its description in RNAcentral is "partial 16S ribosomal RNA". It matches the Rfam family "Bacterial small subunit ribosomal RNA", at positions 29 to 507 of the family's 1533-position model. The record is from RNAcentral.